AUUGAACGCUGGCGGCAGGCCUAACACAUGCAAGUCGAGCGGAUGAAGGGAGCUUGCUCCUGGAUUCAGCGGCGGACGGGUGAGUAAUGCCUAGGAAUCUGCCUGGUAGUGGGGGAUAACGUCCGGAAACGGGCGCUAAUACCGCAUACGUCCUGAGGGAGAAAGUGGGGGAUCUUCGGACCUCACGCUAUCAGAUGAGCCUAGGUCGGAUUAGCUAGUUGGUUGGGUAAAGGCCUACCAAGGCGACGAUCCGUAACUGGUCUGAGAGGAUGAUCAGUCACACUGGAACUGAGACACGGUCCAGACUCCUACGGGAGGCAGCAGUGGGGAAUAUUGGACAAUGGGCGAAAGCCUGAUCCAGCCAUGCCGCGUGUGUGAAGAAGGUCUUCGGAUUGUAAAGCACUUUAAGUUGGGAGGAAGGGCAGUAAGUUAAUACCUUGCUGUUCUGACGUUACCAACAGAAUAAGCACCGGCUAACUUCGUG
Molecule: ribosomal RNA, 484 nt
Filed under: uncultured bacterium
Lineage: Bacteria
Description: partial 16S ribosomal RNA
Rfam family: Bacterial small subunit ribosomal RNA
Source: RNAcentral